CCUCCCAACCACCCGGCCUCCAUCCUCCUCGCCCUCGUACUCCUGAAAGCCCACCCAAUUUCUCUGCAGCUAGCCAAUUCAACAGAUUGGCCUGUUCGAGAGAGCUCAGUGCUUAUCAAUCUCCAUUCACAUUGCGCGGGGUGGGAUAUUGGAUCGAGCAUUCAUCCACAUCGAAGAAGCAAGUUUUUAGAAUCUUGAAAAUGGCACGGGCACCCCACCGUGAGCGCGCGAGAGAGAGAUGAGCGCCACGGUGGCUGCGGCGGCGGGCGCGACGGAGGCGCGGGCGGCCAUCUUCGGCCGCGCGGUGAACCCGACGGGGAAGCACGUGGCGACGAAGCUGCUACGGAAGAAGCUGGUCGGGGAGCAGGUCGCGCAGUGGUACCCCUACGACAUCAAGCGCGACGACCCGUGAGGAGAAGGAGCAAGUGGCCGCCGCCUCGCCCCUCCUCUCUCGCUAGUCCUUGGAAGCUUCAUGUGUUUGGGUGUGCAGUAUGUUGGCAGCACAAGCCGAGAAGAUCUAAAGUGAGAACUGAGAAGUUAAACAGUUGCAGACACGAAGUCGCGGACACUAAGGAUGUGGGAGCGGAUGGUGUGAAUUGAGAAGAAAUUAUUAUUUAUAGCAGGUAGUAAGCAUUGUAAUUUACCUGAAGUAAACUGUACAGAAAAUGGUGAUGCCACUUGCUACUGGUGAAGGAGUUACUACUGUAUAUGUAUGCAUCAGUGCAAAUUUCAAACUUGCACACAUACAUGCCUUUUUUAUUAGCUCCAUGCCUCCAACACAGGAAGUUUUGACUUGCAUGCAUGGUCUUGGAUAGAUUCUGCCAUAAUUAAAAGUUAAAUAAUUCUCUUAGAGGUGCAACUAUU
This is a long non-coding RNA of Phragmites australis (common reed), 864 nucleotides long. RefSeq lists it as uncharacterized. NCBI's taxonomy places the organism in Eukaryota, Viridiplantae, Streptophyta, Magnoliopsida, Poales, Poaceae. The record is from RefSeq and is a predicted model, not a curated record. The transcript has 3 exons.